ACAUAUAUAUGAUAUAUGAGAUAUAUGAUGAUAUAUGAUGAUGAGCUCUUUUAUGUUUGAGGAAAGGAACAGAGCAAACCUUGCACAGCAUGUGUGAUCUCCUCUCCCAGAUCACCUGAGGCCUCUAACUGCCAAAGCUGAACCUGUAGGUGAAUGUGGAUACUCACUUCUUAAACAUGAAACAAGUGAGCCUACUUGAAGAGGAGGAGACAGUUCUGAAGCCUGACAAGGUGACACACACAGAGGAACACAUCAGACGGAGGAAAGGCUUUACAGAAAUCCCACGUUGUGCAAGUAUGAAGCCAUGUGACGUGUGCUCUGCGGUUGAAGAUGGUUGGAAAGCCCUACUUCACACAGUCCAACGAAUCAUGCAGCUCUGGGGGAAAGGACAUAGCUACUUGUAGUUUGAAUGAAAACUGCCCCCAUAGACCGACAUACUGGAAUACUUGGCCCCCCAUCUGUGGCACUGUUGGUGAAAGCGAUGGAGCCUUUAAGACGCCCGGCUGGAAGAAAUUUGUUUGGGGUAGGGGCAGACUUUGAGGAUGUGUAGCCUGCUUCCCUUCACGCGCUCUCAGCUUCCUGUGUGUGCAUGAAAAUGUAACUUCUGCUUCCGCUGCCCCGCCACACCUUCCAGAGCCCAUAUUCGUAUACUUGAGCACUGCAGCACCCGACCAAGACCACUGCAUGGAGGCUGCAGUUCUGGGCCACAUCCUCUGGGCCACAAAGGCUUCUGGAGGAGGGGUUCCCAUGUGUGAUGGCAAACAACUCUCACCAUGGCAUUUGGCCAUUUUCAAUCAUUUCCCCAGAGACUGAGCUCAUGCGGUCAUCAUUCACCAUCUACAUAGAUGUUCGAAUAAAAAGCCAGGGCUGAGAAUACUUGGCCUGUGUCAACUGAAUCCCCAUGCAUGGAAACUCGAGAGUAUCCAGGAUAUCAAUCUAUAAAGCCCCUGUAUUCUCCAAAGGGAUGUAGCUUGACCAUAAAAUGGAUGUAACACACAGUGAA
This is a non-coding RNA of Rattus norvegicus (Norway rat), 1003 nucleotides long. Lineage: Eukaryota; Metazoa; Chordata; Mammalia; Rodentia; Muridae. The record is from RefSeq and is a predicted model, not a curated record.